Molecule: ribosomal RNA, 253 nt
Filed under: uncultured bacterium
Lineage: Bacteria
Description: partial 16S ribosomal RNA
Rfam family: Bacterial small subunit ribosomal RNA
Source: RNAcentral
UACGGGGGGGGCAAGCGUUGUUCGGAAUUACUGGGCGUAAAGGGCUCGUAGGUGGCCAACUAAGUCAGACGUGAAAUCCCUCGGCUUAACCGGGGAACUGCGUCUGAUACUGGAUGGCUUGAGUUCGGGAGAGGGAUGCGGAAUUCCAGGUGUAGCGGUGAAAUGCGUAGAUAUCUGGAGGAACACCGGUGGCGAAGGCGGCAUCCUGGACCAUUACUGACACUGAAAAGCGAAAGCCAGGGGAGCAAACGGG